This is a non-coding RNA of Misgurnus anguillicaudatus (oriental weatherfish), 1248 nucleotides long. NCBI's taxonomy places the organism in Eukaryota, Metazoa, Chordata, Actinopteri, Cypriniformes, Cobitidae. The record is from RefSeq and is a predicted model, not a curated record.
UAGGUACAAUACGCUGACGUCACGCAUCCGGGACUCCGGUCACGUGGGAAGAAACCCGGAAGUAUCGCUGUGAAUCACAUGAGAGCUGCAAAUGCGAUGUUGUGUAUUAGGCUGUACAUCAUAUUAACGUAAAGAGAGUGAUAAUAUAUAUCCUUUCAUCUAUUCCCGAGUGACUCAAAGGGAUAUUGGACCUUAUUUUCAGUGUCUGUGAUGUUGAAACACUAAAGGAAGAAGAGGAGGACCACCAUUUGUUUCCUGAUCAGAACACAAGAGAAGAAUCUAACAGUGGUUUGGGGGCAUUGCAAGACCAUGAUUACCACAUCUCCUAUUAUGGAAGAGCACAACAUCAUGCUCGCAACAUUUGUGUCCUGGAUCAGUUUUUCUUGUUUCUCUGCUGUAUAAGGCAGGGGCUUCUUUCCGCAGAUUUAGCUGUAAGAUUUAAAGGUCCCGUUUUUCCUGAUCCCAUUUUUUAAACUUUAGUUAGUGUGUAAUGUUGCUGUUAGAGCAUAAAUAAUACCUGUAAAUUAUAAAGCUCAAAAUUCAAUGCCAAGCGAUAUAUUUUCUUUAAUAGAAUUUCCCUUUUAAAGCAUACAGCAAACGAACGGUUUGGACUACAGCCCUCUACUUCCCGAUUGAAUGACAUCCAAAGAAGAGGUUUUUUUACUAACUCUCACCCACAGGAAUACGUCAGUCGCAAGCAAAGUUCAAAUGGCUCUGCUAAGCUAAGUUGCUGUUAAAUCAAAACACACUAAACAAACUACUACACAAUCAAAACUCGAUAUAUAUUUCUGAAGGAGGGACUUCAUAGAACAAGGAAGAAAUCAGCCCGAUUUUAGGACAGUGAAAACAGUGCUAUAGAGAUAAGUAAUUAUGUGAAAAAUACUGUGUUUUUUUACACACAAAACAUGAACACACGCUAUAUUGCACACCAUAAACACAAUCAUAGUUUAAAAACACAGGAAAAACAGGACCUUUAAUCUGUCCAAGGCAACAGUCAGUCGAAUAUGCAUAACAUGGGCUAAUGUCCAAACAUCUUUUCACUUCACAAGAGGUGCAAAGUUUGGACUCUCAUUCUCACGGCACCCAUUCACUGCAGAGGAUCCAAUUGUAAGCAAUGUAAUGCUGAAUUUCUCCAAAUCUGUUCCAAUGAAAAAACAAAUGCAUCUAUAUAUUGGGUGAAAAAUUCCUUUAAUCCCAAAAACAGACAUUCUUCAUUUAAAUGUUUUUACUUUGCUUUACUAUUACAAU